RNAcentral lists this ribosomal RNA (1445 nucleotides) under Lactiplantibacillus plantarum. Its description in RNAcentral is "bacterial SSU rRNA". It matches the Rfam family "Bacterial small subunit ribosomal RNA". Lineage: Bacteria; Bacillati; Bacillota; Bacilli; Lactobacillales; Lactobacillaceae. The record is from RNAcentral.
CGGGCCUAUACGUGCAAGUCGAACGAACUCUGGUAUUGAUUGGUGCUUGCAUCAUGAUUUACAUUUGAGUGAGUGGCGAACUGGUGAGUAACACGUGGGAAACCUGCCCAGAAGCGGGGGAUAACACCUGGAAACAGAUGCUAAUACCGCAUAACAACUUGGACCGCAUGGUCCGAGUUUGAAAGAUGGCUUCGGCUAUCACUUUUGGAUGGUCCCGCGGCGUAUUAGCUAGAUGGUGAGGUAACGGCUCACCAUGGCAAUGAUACGUAGCCGACCUGAGAGGGUAAUCGGCCACAUUGGGACUGAGACACGGCCCAAACUCCUACGGGAGGCAGCAGUAGGGAAUCUUCCACAAUGGACGAAAGUCUGAUGGAGCAACGCCGCGUGAGUGAAGAAGGGUUUCGGCUCGUAAAACUCUGUUGUUAAAGAAGAACAUAUCUGAGAGUAACUGUUCAGGUAUUGACGGUAUUUAACCAGAAAGCCACGGCUAACUACGUGCCAGCAGCCGCGGUAAUACGUAGGUGGCAAGCGUUGUCCGGAUUUAUUGGGCGUAAAGCGAGCGCAGGCGGUUUUUUAAGUCUGAUGUGAAAGCCUUCGGCUCAACCGAAGAAGUGCAUCGGAAACUGGGAAACUUGAGUGCAGAAGAGGACAGUGGAACUCCAUGUGUAGCGGUGAAAUGCGUAGAUAUAUGGAAGAACACCAGUGGCGAAGGCGGCUGUCUGGUCUGUAACUGACGCUGAGGCUCGAAAGUAUGGGUAGCAAACAGGAUUAGAUACCCUGGUAGUCCAUACCGUAAACGAUGAAUGCUAAGUGUUGGAGGGUUUCCGCCCUUCAGUGCUGCAGCUAACGCAUUAAGCAUUCCGCCUGGGGAGUACGGCCGCAAGGCUGAAACUCAAAGGAAUUGACGGGGGCCCGCACAAGCGGUGGAGCAUGUGGUUUAAUUCGAAGCUACGCGAAGAACCUUACCAGGUCUUGACAUACUAUGCAAAUCUAAGAGAUUAGACGUUCCCUUCGGGGACAUGGAUACAGGUGGUGCAUGGUUGUCGUCAGCUCGUGUCGUGAGAUGUUGGGUUAAGUCCCGCAACGAGCGCAACCCUUAUUAUCAGUUGCCAGCAUUAAGUUGGGCACUCUGGUGAGACUGCCGGUGACAAACCGGAGGAAGGUGGGGAUGACGUCAAAUCAUCAUGCCCCUUAUGACCUGGGCUACACACGUGCUACAAUGGAUGGUACAACGAGUUGCGAACUCGCGAGAGUAAGCUAAUCUCUUAAAGCCAUUCUCAGUUCGGAUUGUAGGCUGCAACUCGCCUACAUGAAGUCGGAAUCGCUAGUAAUCGCGGAUCAGCAUGCCGCGGUGAAUACGUUCCCGGGCCUUGUACACACCGCCCGUCACACCAUGAGAGUUUGUAACACCCAAAGUCGGUGGGGUAACCUUUUAGGAACCCCAG